CCAUGACUAGUUCUCAAAAUUGAAAUCUCUCUCAAGUUUAGGCACGACUGUUAUAAAUUAAGAUUGUGGGAAGAGUACUUGAUCUAAAGUCUAAGUCGUUAAUGGAUAUGAUAUGGGAAGGUUGAGCUGUUGUUUAUCUGUUCCUAGAGAUGCUAGAAUUCUAGAGAAUUUUAUCUUUGAAAAUCUUUAAAAUAUUGCAUGAUGAGUUCCUGUAUAAUGAGAGUUUAAAAUCGUACCACAGCCAUAUAUACAUGCUUAUUAGACUAUGAACCAUACAUUUACUUUUUACUGCUUAUGAGCAUUGAGUGUGGUCAAGCUGUGUAGACCCUUAGGAGCUUGUCAUGCGGUUAAAAUCAAGAUUCACUUGCACGUUCACUCAUACAUGCUACUUCUACUCCGGAAGUACGUAUCCACAUACAUCCACUCAAUUCCAUCUCUAGAUUCACCUAAAAUUAUUCUACUCAUAUCUGGGAGAGAAUAGCCAAAAACUAUUUCCUAUCCCUGUUAUUCCCUGUGAAAUAAAUGCUCGAGUUAUCUUGGUUACUACCACUUGCUAUAUUAUUCUAGGAGGAUGAGUGCUCUGAAAAAAUAUGAAUACGAGAAAAUAAAAAGGGGCAAGUGCCUGAAACCUCGAAAAAAGAAAAAGUGAGACGAGAGGUAAAAAUGGACAAGUGUCCGAUAGUAGAAUUACGGGUACAAGAUACCCACCUGAGAGAAAAGAAAAAUAAAAUAUAGAACAUCUCAUUCCCCUCAAAAGCCUCAAGUGCAAGGAAGGUAUGUACCCUCUCAAAAGAGCAAAAGUAGAAUUAGACUUUCACCAUUAUUUUCACCAUUAUCACAAUUCAUUCGCCACACAUGCACAUCUUGAUUUGACUUAUUGACUUGUUCUUCUGGAUCCAUAGUUUGACUAUGCAAUAAAUGUCUUGUAAGUAUGUAUUAGCGGUCUCCCACCUAUGAGCUCCAAAUAUCAAAACCUUCUUAGAGUAGGGUGAGAGAGAAGGCAAUAUCACUAUGCCUCAUACCAAAAAUACCACAUACUUUGAGAGAAGACAAACACCAUUACUGCCUUGGUAAGGAUCCAGAAAUACCACAAAAGAGAGACUAGAGAGAGUCAUACAAGGAAUAUCUGAGUUUUAUUUGAAAAUCUGCCAAAAAAACUCCAGAGCUAUAGUUGAUCAAGAACAAGAGACAUGGCGCUUGACUUGACCGUUCUAUUCUUUAACUACUCAAGACACAAGUGACGGUUACAAGCCCCAUGGUGGAAGGUAAUAUGAGUAAGUUUAAAUCUUAACAGUUUACCCUAACCUAG
RNAcentral lists this long non-coding RNA (1309 nucleotides) under Sorghum bicolor (sorghum). Its description in RNAcentral is "long non-coding RNA (SBIC_LNC008665)". Lineage: Eukaryota; Viridiplantae; Streptophyta; Magnoliopsida; Poales; Poaceae. The record is from RNAcentral.